Molecule: ribosomal RNA, 273 nt
Filed under: uncultured bacterium
Lineage: Bacteria
Description: partial 16S ribosomal RNA
Rfam family: Bacterial small subunit ribosomal RNA
Source: RNAcentral
AUACAGAGGGUGCGAGCGUUAAUCGGAAUUACUGGGCGUAAAGCGCGCGUAGGCGGCUUAUUAAGUCAGAUGUGAAAUCCCCGGGCUCAACCUGGGAACUGCAUCUGAUACUGGUAAGCUAGAGUUUUGGAGAGGGAAGUAGAAUUUCAGGUGUAGCGGUGAAAUGCAUAGAGAUCUGAAGGAAUACCAGUGGCGAAGGCGACUUCCUGGCCAAAAACUGACGCUGAGGUGCGAAAGCGUGGGUAGCAAACGGGAUUAGAAACCCCAGUGUCC